AGUGAACGCUGGCGGUAGGCCUAACACAUGCAAGUCGAACGGCAGCACAGUAAGAGCUUGCUCUUACGGGUGGCGAGUGGCGGACGGGUGAGGAAUACAUCGGAAUCUACUUUUUCGUGGGGGAUAACGUAGGGAAACUUACGCUAAUACCGCAUACGACCUACGGGUGAAAGCAGGGGAUCUUCGGACCUUGCGCGAUUGAAUGAGCCGAUGUCGGAUUAGCUAGUUGGCGGGGUAAAGGCCCACCAAGGCGACGAUCCGUAGCUGGUCUGAGAGGAUGAUCAGCGACACUGGAACUGAGACACGGUCCAGACUCCUACGGGAGGCAGCAGUGGGGAAUAUUGGACAAUGGGCGCAAGCCUGAUCCAGCCAUACCGCGUGGGUGAAGAAGGCCUUCGGGUUGUAAAGCCCUUUUGUUGGGAAAGAAAAGCAGCAGGCUAAUACCACGCUGUUCUGACGGUACCCAAAGAAUAAGCACCGGCUAACUUCGUG
Molecule: ribosomal RNA, 492 nt
Filed under: uncultured bacterium
Lineage: Bacteria
Description: partial 16S ribosomal RNA
Rfam family: Bacterial small subunit ribosomal RNA
Source: RNAcentral